Molecule: ribosomal RNA, 457 nt
Filed under: uncultured bacterium
Lineage: Bacteria
Description: bacterial SSU rRNA
Rfam family: Bacterial small subunit ribosomal RNA
Source: RNAcentral
AACGAACGCUGGCGGCAGGCCUAACACAUGCAAGUCGAGGGGGAAGCCACUUUCGGGUGGUGGAGACCGGCGCACGGGUGAGUAACGCGUGGGCACCUGCCCUGGGGUGGGGGACAACCGCUGGAAACGGCGGCUAAUACCGCAUACGCCCUAUUUUCGUAGAGGAGAUGGGGGAAAGAUUUAUCGCCCUGGGAUGGGCCCGCGUUGGAUUAGCUUGUUGGUGGGUAAAGGCCUACCAAGGCGACGAUCCAUAGCUGGUCUGAGAGGAUGAUCAGCCACACUGGGACUGAGACACGGCCCAGACUCCUACGGGAGGCAGCAGUGGGGAAUAUUGGACAAUGGGGGCAACCCUGAUCCAGCCAUGCCGCGUGCGUGAAGAAGGCUUUAGGGUUGUAAAGCGCUUUCACCGGUGACGAUGAUGACGGUAGCCGGAGAAGAAGCCCCGGCUAACUCCGUG